This 406-nucleotide ribosomal RNA is filed under the name uncultured bacterium. RNAcentral describes it as "partial 16S ribosomal RNA". It matches the Rfam family "Bacterial small subunit ribosomal RNA", at positions 30 to 526 of the family's 1533-position model. The record is from RNAcentral.
AUUGAACGCUAGCGGGAUGCCUUACACAUGCAAGUCGAACGAGUGGCGAACGGGUGCGUAAUGUCUGUGAAACUGCCCGAUGGAGGGGGAUAACUACUGGAAACGGUAGCUAAUACCGCAUCCCAUCUUAUUUGCCCAGAUGGGAUUCGCUAGUAGGUGGGGUAACGGCUCACCUAGGCGACGAUCCCUAGCUGGUCUGAGAGGAUGACCAGCCACACUGGAACUGAGACACGGUCAAGACUCCUACGGGAGGCAGCAGUGGGGAAUAUUGGACAAUGGGCGCAAGCCUGAUGCAGACAUGCCGCGUGUAGGAAGAAGGCCUUCGGGUUGUAAAGUACGUUCAGCGGGGAGGCGUUACCCGCAGAAGAAGCACCGGCUAACUCCGUGCCAGCAGCCGCGGUAAUUC